This is a non-coding RNA of Irpex rosettiformis, 97 nucleotides long. NCBI's taxonomy places the organism in Eukaryota, Fungi, Basidiomycota, Agaricomycetes, Polyporales, Irpicaceae. The record is from the annotation of a GenBank genome assembly.
GGCCGACUAGCUCAGUUGGUUAGAGCGUGGUGCUAAUAUGUAAGUGUACUCUUACGUAAUCACGCCAAGGUCGUCGGUUCGAUCCCGGCGUUGGCCA